AACCCAUGAUGAAGACAUUACAAGAGUAAGCCUUUAAAUUUCUCCCAUGCCUUAAAGAAUUGUUCAUCCUCUUUUUGCAUAAACGCUGAAAUCUCCAUGUGAUC
This 104-nucleotide small nucleolar RNA is filed under the name Citrus sinensis (sweet orange). RNAcentral describes it as "Plant small nucleolar RNA R71". It matches the Rfam family "Plant small nucleolar RNA R71". Rfam says of the family: R71 is a member of the C/D box family of snoRNAs containing the C (UGAUGA) and D (CUGA) box motifs. The record is from Rfam by way of RNAcentral. Lineage: Eukaryota; Viridiplantae; Streptophyta; Magnoliopsida; Sapindales; Rutaceae.